Molecule: ribosomal RNA, 874 nt
Filed under: Hoplopleura edentula
Lineage: Eukaryota; Metazoa; Arthropoda; Insecta; Psocodea; Hoplopleuridae
Description: 12S ribosomal RNA
Source: RNAcentral
UACUAGCAGCUAUUUCUUCUCACGAAGAAAUGAGUGAAAGAGCUAGAUAAAUUGCUUGCUCUCAUAUGAGCAAAUACCACACCCAACCUCAUUCCCUUUGGGUCGGGGUUCCGGAUGGUUCAGAGGAGGUAUUAUUAAUUAACCUUUAUAUGUUAAUUUGAGAAAGAAUUAGUUCUUUACAAUUUUAGAUAAGGCCACACUUGCCAGGCCUGGGAAAGUAUGUGCCAGCUCCAGCGGUCACACAUACGGGCCAAAUCAUCUGUUAACAAGCUUCACUUAUUUUCAAAUCAGUAAUUAAAAGGUUAAAUUUAUACUUUACUGUGUAAAUUAAGCGUUAACUACGAGUGGUAAACUUAAGAAUUAAACUAGGAUUAGAUACCCUACUAUUCUAAGCCUAAUAGUAAAGCUUAGAGAGUAACAGUUACGGUCUCGAAAUCAAGAUCUAAUGGCAGUUAAAUAUCUAAUCAGAGGCCUAUGCUGCUAAUCGAUGUCACACGAAAAUCUUACCUUAUCCUUAAAUCUUGUACACCGCUGUCGGAAGGUGAUAGCUUUUUCAUUCACCUGUUCUCUUAUUAGGGAGUAAGUCAAGUCAAGGUGCAGCCUAUGGAAAGGUCACAGUGUAGGUUAUAAUUUAACCCUUUCUCCUUUCAAGGGGGUCUGGGUUCCAAAUUUGAUAGUAAUGUCAUAGAUUUAAUAAUAAUCUUUUAAAUAAGUAAUAUUUUUUGUACAAAUCGCCCGUCACUCCGUAUAAUAGCGGAUAAGUCGUAACAUAGUUGUCCUACUGGAAAGUGGGACAAGUUACUACUGCUAAGCAGUGAGUUAGGGGUGACGGGAUGCUCUUCUUUCUCUCUAUUAAGAGCAUUAUUAAAAAUAA